Molecule: long non-coding RNA, 1378 nt
Organism: Daktulosphaira vitifoliae (grape phylloxera)
Lineage: Eukaryota; Metazoa; Arthropoda; Insecta; Hemiptera; Phylloxeridae
Exons: 2
Source: RefSeq, a predicted model, not a curated record
CGCGCAUUCGUGGUGACACUAUGAUGAUCAACCUAAUGAGAAAAAAAACACCAGCGUUAUGAGUCGAUAUGAAGUCAAAUAGGUAAUUGAAAAAAUAUCGACAUAGUCAUUCAAUAAUAAUCGAAUAGAAAUAUAUUCAAAUGUUGUACGUUGUACUGGAAUCACGCAAACCAAAUAUUUUUCAAAUAAUUUUAAAUUAGCAGUCAAAGUAAUAAUAUUAUUGUAAGUUUAAUAAAAAUACUUCUAUAUCUACAAACUAUGUUUUACACCUCAAAACCAACGUUUCUAAAAUAGAUAUAAAAUAAACAUUUGUCGGCCUAUAUAAUAAUUGAAAUUAUUAUUCAUAAUUAUGGUACGUGCAGUUUCUAGGGAAAAAAAUUGAAUUCAUGUAUAUUUUUUAACUUAAAAAAGAUAAAAAUUUAUGUUUAGAUAAAUGUGUUUCCUUAAAUAUGACAAUUUUGUACUCAGUUUUAUACAUUUUCACUAUAUUUUAUUUGUCAUGAAUUGUUCAUAUAUAAGUAUAUAAAAGCUAAGAAUUCAAUAUAUGUAUUAUUCAGAUGUUUAACUUUCAAAAAAAACUAACAGGCGUUUACAGUUGUAAAUAAUAAUACUUACACUAAUUCGGGUGUAUCAGUAAAAAUGCAACUAAAUCAUAGCAGUUCAAUUAUUUCUUUUCACUUUGUAUUUUAACGAUUAUUCAUGACAAACUGUUGUGUAUAAAACUAGAACGGAUUGAGGUUAAACAUAUAAACCACCACAAAUCUAAUUUUGUACAUUUACAAAAUAUCGUCCAUAUAUUUUAACGAAAUCGCUUUUGAAAUAUAUUUCAAAAGUGAAUUUUAAUGUUUAAAUUACAUUUUAAUAAACCUAAAUAACAUUAUUUAUUUUUAUAAAAUGGAUUAUAUGUAAAAUUGUACAUUUGUAACAUUGUAGUCAACCGAUUGUUAGAACAAUUGUGUAAAAUAAUCUGGUGCGACUGUACCCUAGCAGUAUUAUCUGGUAUUAAAUACUUUUUCUUUGCAUUUUAUGUUAAUAAAAUAAUCUCCAUAUAAUCUUACAACUUAAAUCUCAUCAUGGUCAUUAUCAAAGGUAUUAUUAAAUCUAUACACACCUGUAAACUAAUACAGCUGCUGACAAAAAACCAAGGAUCAUAAACCAAAACCACAGGAACACAUAUAUCUUCUCGUUGACUGCGUUCAAAGGGAGUAUGCAUAUCGAAUCGUGAGUUUCAACUUCACCAGAAACCCCAAAUUUGUGGAAUAUGCAUUUGGUCAUCCUCGGAAAAAUAUAUAUCAUAGGAUCUAUGCGAUCUUCCUGGUCACUUUCCAAAAAUCGAAUGACGUCUAUACCGAAAGUUAAAAAAGCACCGUCGAAGAAG